RNAcentral lists this ribosomal RNA (507 nucleotides) under Escherichia coli. Its description in RNAcentral is "bacterial SSU rRNA". It matches the Rfam family "Bacterial small subunit ribosomal RNA", at positions 95 to 598 of the family's 1533-position model. Lineage: Bacteria; Pseudomonadati; Pseudomonadota; Gammaproteobacteria; Enterobacterales; Enterobacteriaceae. The record is from RNAcentral.
GUGGCGGACGGGUGAGUAAUGUCUGGGAAACUGCCUGAUGGAGGGGGAUAACUACUGGAAACGGUAGCUAAUACCGCAUAACGUCGCAAGACCAAAGAGGGGGACCUUCGGGCCUCUUGCCAUCGGAUGUGCCCAGAUGGGAUUAGCUAGUAGGUGGGGUAACGGCUCACCUAGGCGACGAUCCCUAGCUGGUCUGAGAGGAUGACCAGCCACACUGGAACUGAGACACGGUCCAGACUCCUACGGGAGGCAGCAGUGGGGAAUAUUGCACAAUGGGCGCAAGCCUGAUGCAGCCAUGCCGCGUGUAUGAAGAAGGCCUUCGGGUUGUAAAGUACUUUCAGCGGGGAGGAAGGGAGUAAAGUUAAUACCUUUACUCAUUGACGUUACCCGCAGAAGAAGCACCGGCUAACUCCGUGCCAGCAGCCGCGGUAAUACGGAGGGUGCAAGCGUUAAUCGGAAUUACUGGGCGUAAAGCGCACGCAGGCGGUUUGUUAAGUCAGAUGUGAA